RNAcentral lists this ribosomal RNA (1922 nucleotides) under Triticum aestivum (bread wheat). Its description in RNAcentral is "partial small subunit ribosomal RNA". Lineage: Eukaryota; Viridiplantae; Streptophyta; Magnoliopsida; Poales; Poaceae. The record is from RNAcentral.
AUGAAGGUGGAAGGAAUGAGGAGGCUAGAUUUAUCUGUCAGCCUCUCGGAUAUGUCGUUACAACACCGCCCGCGGUCGGUCAUAGCUGACGCAUAUCGUCGUCGCCAAUUUCGUAGCACCACCCCAUGCGCUCUCAACACCGGUCAAAAGUCGUCAGCCUCGCGGAUAAAUUGGGUCUCAAACCCAUCCACAUCCAGCCCAGCCGCCCACCGUUCGGCGGCUACCUCGCCGCACUCCAACGCAGCGGCCGCCACCUCCCCCCCCCAUCUCAACCCCCGUAGGAUGUACCGCUUCCUCGACCAGCAUCGGCGCCGCUUCCUCGAUCUGUCCCGGCGCCGUUUGGAUCGUUGCGGCGACGGCUUCGUCGGUCUUCAGCUCCGCCACCUACAUCCUGAAGGAGUACGAUCUCGUGGCUGGUAUGGAUCUGAACGCCCACCCUUCCCUGAUCUGACUGCUACGAAUUCUCUGAAGUAUGCUAGGAUGGCGACGGACAUGUUGACCAUAUACCUGCACUAUGAAGAUACAAAUCAGGAAGCCAAAAUUUUACAAAGAUCCAUGAUGAGAGGUGAUGUCUUGUAUUACGACUUAAUCUUGAUGAUCGAAGAAGUUGGCUUUCAGGCAAUUGACUUUCUGUACUAUGCGAAAAAACCCCGUCUAGGCAGCUCCUACUUAGUUCACAUUUAUGAUGAAGGUGUUGUGAUGAAAAUGUUGUCUGACACUGAGAUUGUGAAAGCUGUCCAUCUGUAUGUGUCUAAGGAGAAGGCUGACGAUCAUAUUGCUCCGCCUAGCAAGAAAAUUGAUGUUGCUCCAUCUAACCAUCCAAAUGAGAGUGUUCUCUUACAGGACGGUGGUGUCUCUGCUGAAGGGGCAGGGCAACUUACUAUGCAAGGGCUGCAAAAUGGAGACUGCAACAAUGGUGAGCAAUUCCCACAAGGUCAUGAAUCACAAGCAUUGGUCGAUGAAGAGGGUCAAGUGCACAAUCAAGUAGACAAGGAAGUACGCAAGCGCAAGAGAACAAGCUUGCCAAUUGUCUGGAACAUGCCAAAGGGGCAGAGAAUAGUUGUGAAAUGCAAUGAAGAUAGCCAGCCUAUAGGAGAUGAAGGUGCAAUCUUGGGGAAGUUUCUGGGCACGGUUGCUAGAAAUGGAGGAUUUUACCCACUAAACAUAAAUGAUUGGCGUCAUGUCAAAAAGAAUAGUGGUGAGGAAACAAUAUUGCAGUGCGUACAGAGAAUCCAGUGCAAUGGACCCAUUGAGGCACUCUCGUCUAUGCAACAUGACAUUCCUGAGGAUAAUAAUUUAUCGCGUUCGCACGAAAAGGUUGGCGACCAUGAUGUCAACCAAUUACAAAUUCAACAAAAUUCAUCAUCACCACAAGACCUUGUUAUUGAUUCUGUGCUAGAGGUUGCUUUCAAAGUAGUCUUAAAGACUUCAACAUAUCCCAACAAGCGGAAUGUUGCGUAUGGUACUAUUCGAAGUACUGAUCCAAGAACUAAGGCUGGUGGUAUUGAGUUAGGUGCUGAAUUUGCUCUUGUGCGCAUAGACGAACCUAUUCUUGAUAAUGAGGAGUUGGUAAGGGAAGUUUCUGAUUGCAAGACAAUUGGCGAGGCUUUCACUUCAGGAUACUUAAUUGCCUCGCCUUCAUCUUUUAUUCGAGAGAAGGAUGGUUGAUUUGCAGUUGAAUUCUUGGAUCAAGAAGCAAAUAAAAUUUAAAGAUUUUAGCUACCAAUAGUUGUAGUUUACAUUGAUAGAUUUAAAAGUGUAAUAUCAUCCAGAACAUCUUUUUCUUUCAUCGAAUUGAUGCAAAUGCGACAGUGUAAUAUUCCCCAUAGUUGUGUUUUCUAUCCUCAAAAUUAUAUGGCUGAUAUCUUUAUUGUAAUGCAUAUGUAUCAUAUACUCUUCUAUGUUCAUAAUAAAUAUCUUCG